GAGCGAAUCUUUGGUGAGCUUGCUCCCAAAGAUUAGCGGCGGACGGCUGAGUACACUGUGGGCAACCUGCCUAUAAGACUGGGAUACUUCGGGAAACCGGAGCUAAUACCGGAUAAUUCUUUUCUACACAUGUAGAAAAGCUAAAAGACGGUUUACGCUGUCACUUAUAGAUGGGCCCGCGGCGCAUUAGCUAGUUGGUGAGGUAACGGCUCACCAAGGCCACGAUGCGCAGCCGACCUGAGAGGGUGAUCGGCCACACUGGGACUGAGACACGGCCCAGACUCCUACGGGAGGCAGCAGUAGGGAAUCUUCCGCAAUGGACGAAAGUCUGACGGAGCAACGCCGCGUGAGUGAUGAAGGUUUUCGGAUCGUAAAACUCUGUUGUUAGGGAAGAACAAGUACGAGAGUAACUGCUCGUACCUUGACGGUACCUAACCAGAAAGCCAAGGCUAACUACGUGCCAGCAGCCGCGGUAAU
RNAcentral lists this ribosomal RNA (477 nucleotides) under uncultured bacterium. RNAcentral's name for it is "bacterial SSU rRNA". It matches the Rfam family "Bacterial small subunit ribosomal RNA", at positions 64 to 524 of the family's 1533-position model. The record is from RNAcentral.